Long non-coding RNA from Zonotrichia albicollis (white-throated sparrow), 1632 nucleotides. Lineage: Eukaryota; Metazoa; Chordata; Aves; Passeriformes; Passerellidae. The record is from Ensembl.
GUUACACCUGUGCCAGGCUGGGCUCCUCCUGCACCUCCAGGAACUCCAGCUCCUGCUGCAGCUUCUGAGGGGGAGAAAUACACCUGGGUUACACCUGGGUUACACCUGAGAGACCUGAGUUACACCUGGGUUACACCUGGGUUACACCUGAGAUACACCUGGGUUACACCUGGGUUACACCUGAGAUACACUUGAGAUACACCUGGGUUACACCUGGGUUACACCUGGGUUACACCUGGGAUACACCUGAGAUAUCCCUGAACCACCUGAGAUACUCCUGAGAUACACCUGGGUUACACCUGAGAUACUCCUGAGUUACACCUGGGAUACACCUGAGAUACACCUGGGCCAGGGGACACUGUCACACACCUGUCACACCUGUCACACAUGUCACAUACAUGUCACACACGUCUCACACACGUGUCCCACACAUGUCCCACAUGUCACACGCAUCACACACCUGUCACACACAUGUCACACACCUGUCACACCUGUCACACACCUGUCACACCUGUCACACAUGUCCCACACGUGUCACACACAUGUCCAGGUGUGUCUCUCAUCUUGUACCUGCUGUGCAGACCCUGUAACCCCUCACACGUGUGUCACAUGUCCCAGGUGUGUCACACACGUGUCUCACCUUGUAGCGGCUGUACAGAUCCUCCAGGUCCUCACACAUGUCACACAGAUGUCACACACAUGUGUUCUCACCUUGUACCGGCUGUACAGAUCCUCCAGGUCCCUGUCACACACCUGUCACACACACGUGUCACACACAUGUCACACACACGUGUCUCACCUUGUACCAGCUGUACAGAUCCUCCAGGUCCCUGUAACCUCUCACACAUGUCCCAGGUGUGUCACACACGUGUCCCACGCGUGUCACUCACCUUGUACCGGCUGUACAGAUCCUCCAGGUCCUCACACCUGUCACACACAUGUCUCACCUGUCACACACGUGUCAUACACGUCACACACCUGUCACACACCUGUCACACAUGUCCCAGGUGUGUCACACACACCUGUCACACGCGUGUCUCUCACCUUGUACCUGCUGUACAGAUCCUCCAGGUCCCUGUAACCCCUCACACGUGUGUCACAUGUCCCAAGUGUGUCACACACCUGUCCCACACAUGUUCUCACCUUGUACCGGCUGUACAGAUCCUCCAGGUCCUCACACCUGUCACACACGUGUCACACACCUGUCACACACCUGUCUCUCACCUUGUACCGGCUGUACAGGUCCUCCAGGUCCCUGUAACCCCUCACACCUGUCACACACGUGUCACACACGUGUCCCACGUGUCUCUCACCUUGUACCGGCUGUACAGAUCCUCCAGGUCCCUGUCACACACGUGUCACACACAUGUCACACGUGUCUCUCACCUUGUACCGGCUGUACAGAUCCUCCAGGUCCCUGUAACCCCUCACACGUGUGUCACACAUGUCCCAGGUGUGUCACACAUCUGUCACACACUUGUCACACAUGUGUCAUACACAUCACACACCUGUCACACGUGUGUCACACACGUGUCACACGUGUGUCUCUCACCUUGUACCGGCUGUACAGAUCCUCCAGGUCCCUGUAACCCCUCACACGUGUCACACACAUGUCACACACACCUGUCACAC